This 119-nucleotide ribosomal RNA is filed under the name Pteropus alecto (black flying fox). Lineage: Eukaryota; Metazoa; Chordata; Mammalia; Chiroptera; Pteropodidae. The record is from RNAcentral.
GUCUACGGCCAUGCCACCCUGAACAAGCCCGAUCUCGUCUGAUCUCGAAAGCUAAGCAGGGUCGGGCCUGGUUAGUAUUUGGAUGGGAGACCACCUAGGAAAACCAGGUGCUGUAGGCG